Molecule: transfer RNA, 73 nt
Organism: Amanita muscaria Koide BX008
Lineage: Eukaryota; Fungi; Basidiomycota; Agaricomycetes; Agaricales; Amanitaceae
Rfam family: tRNA
About the family: Transfer RNA (tRNA) molecules are approximately 80 nucleotides in length. Their secondary structure includes four short double-helical elements and three loops (D, anti-codon, and T loops).
Source: Rfam
GGGGCUAUAGCUCAGCUGGGAGAGCGAUAGACUGAAGAUCUACAGGUCCCGUGUUCAAUCCACGGUGGCCCCA